This 77-nucleotide transfer RNA is filed under the name Candidatus Tayloriibacteriota bacterium. Its description in RNAcentral is "tRNA-Cys". It matches the Rfam family "tRNA". From Rfam's summary of the family: Transfer RNA (tRNA) molecules are approximately 80 nucleotides in length. Their secondary structure includes four short double-helical elements and three loops (D, anti-codon, and T loops). Further hydrogen bonds mediate the characteristic L-shaped molecular structure. tRNAs have two regions of fundamental functional importance: the anti-codon, which is responsible for specific mRNA codon recognition, and the 3' end, to which the tRNAs corresponding amino acid is attached (by aminoacyl-tRNA synthetases). tRNAs cope with the degeneracy of the genetic code in two manners: having more than one tRNA (with a specific anti-codon) for a particular amino acid; and 'wobble' base-pairing, i.e. permitting non-standard base-pairing at the 3rd anti-codon position. Lineage: Bacteria; Candidatus Tayloriibacteriota. The record is from RNAcentral.
GGCGUAGUGGCGAAGUUGGUUAACGCGGCAGUCUGCAAAACUGCUAUGCAUCAGUUCGAUCCUGAUCUACGCCUCCC